GCAUGGCCGAAUUCUGAUUUACUCUUAAAGUGGUAAACUCAGUCAGACACCAUGCAAAAGAAACAGUUUUCACACACUGACUUUACAAUGAAUGAGAAAUCUUGUGUGGCUCAUUCUGCUGUCAGAGUGAAUACAUUU
Small nucleolar RNA from Phyllopteryx taeniolatus (common seadragon), 138 nucleotides. RefSeq annotates it as small nucleolar RNA SNORA15. Lineage: Eukaryota; Metazoa; Chordata; Actinopteri; Syngnathiformes; Syngnathidae. The record is from RefSeq and is a predicted model, not a curated record. The transcript has a single exon.